AUGUACCACGCGUCCACUCCGGUUCCUGCGCGCGCCGUCCGCACCCACCUGACGGCUGCGCCGUCGUUUUGUUAGCC
RNAcentral lists this small RNA (77 nucleotides) under Xanthomonas oryzae. RNAcentral's name for it is "sX9". It matches the Rfam family "Xanthomonas sRNA sX9". The record is from RNAcentral. Lineage: Bacteria; Pseudomonadati; Pseudomonadota; Gammaproteobacteria; Lysobacterales; Lysobacteraceae.